This 497-nucleotide ribosomal RNA is filed under the name uncultured bacterium. RNAcentral describes it as "partial 16S ribosomal RNA". It matches the Rfam family "Bacterial small subunit ribosomal RNA", at positions 28 to 507 of the family's 1533-position model. The record is from RNAcentral.
GAUGAACGCUGGUGGCGUGCCUAAUACAUGCAAGUCGAGCGAACAGACGAGGAGCUUGCUCCUCUGACGUUAGCGGCGGACGGGUGAGUAACACGUGGAUAACCUACCUAUAAGACUGGGAUAACUUCGGGAAACCGGAGCUAAUACCGGAUAAUAUAUUGAACCGCAUGGUUCAAUAGUGAAAGACGGUUUUGCUGUCACUUAUAGAUGGAUCCGCGCCGCAUUAGCUAGUUGGUAAGGUAACGGCUUACCAAGGCAACGAUGCGUAGCCGACCUGAGAGGGUGAGCGGCCACACUGGAACUGAGACACGGUCCAGACUCCUACGGGAGGCAGCAGUAGGGAAUCUUCCGCAAUGGGCGAAAGCCUGACGGAGCAACGCCGCGUGAGUGAUGAAGGUCUUCGGAUCGAAAAACUCUGUUAUUAGGGAAGAACAAAUGUGUAAGUAACUAUGCACGUCCUGACGGUACCUAAUCAGAAAGCCACGGCUAACUACGUG